This 406-nucleotide ribosomal RNA is filed under the name uncultured bacterium. RNAcentral describes it as "bacterial SSU rRNA". It matches the Rfam family "Bacterial small subunit ribosomal RNA", at positions 28 to 417 of the family's 1533-position model. The record is from RNAcentral.
GACGAACGCUGGCGGCGUGCCUAACACAUGCAAGUCGUGCGAGAAAGUUCCUUCGGGAGCGAGUAAAGCGGCGCACGGGUGAGUAACACGUAGGUAACCUGCCCCCCAGUCUGGAACAACUAGAGGAAACUCUAGCUAAUGCCGGAUGAGACCACGAUCCCUUCGGGGGUUGCGGCCAAAGAUGGCCUCUACUUGUAAGCUAUCGCUGAGGGAUGGGCCUGCGGGCCAUUAGCUUGUUGGUGAGGUAACGGCUCACCAAGGCUGUGAUGGCUAGCUGGUCUGAGAGGAUGACCAGCCACACUGGGACUGAGACACGGCCCAGACUCCUACGGGAGGCAGCAGUGGGGAAUAUUGCGCAAUGGGCGAAAGCCUGACGCAGCGACGCCGCGUGGGUGGAUGAAGGCCU